RNAcentral lists this long non-coding RNA (920 nucleotides) under Lynx canadensis (Canada lynx). RNAcentral's name for it is "lncRNA (ENSLCNG00005015720.1)". The record is from RNAcentral. Lineage: Eukaryota; Metazoa; Chordata; Mammalia; Carnivora; Felidae.
GUUGCAUGUACUGUAUGUGGAGCAGUGUACAGUGAAGCGGAGGCAGAGCGGCUCCGCGAGCUCCUCUCCACUUUCCCAUAGAGGAACCCUGACUGGCCGCUGAGGGCGAGCCAUACACACGCCCUCACGCCCGGCGAGCCCGCGAGGUCACUAUCAUAUGACAAAGGCUUUGCUGCAGUUCAUCUUCCUCCCUGUGUACUUUCCAUUUGCCUUCCCGGAAUCCUGCUGCAUCACAGAAGCUGGAAAUUCUGAUGUUCCAUUCAAAUCACAAUGGAAAGUCUUGACUUGACCGGCACCCUCAGGAAGACCCCAAGCCUCUAGCAGUACCUGGUAUCAUCUCCAGCAUGUUUAUAGAUGUGGAGGAUUCACUGGGAUAUUGAGAAAUACCAGAGGCGAGUUGUUCUACCGUAGUAAGUCAAUCAGCAUUUACUAAGUGACUACUGUUUACAGAGCACAGUCGGUGAUGUGUUGGGCAAAGAAGAAUGAGUUAGGGCAUAGCUGAGAAAAAAUAAAUCUGUAAUCUCUUCUAAGUGGUCCUUGCAGGCUAGACACACAUGCAAAUGAAAACAGCAAAAUAAAAAGCUGACAAAUAAUUGCAUAGCUGAGUGGUGUGGUAUGUGUGCUGUACAGGCCCAGAGUUGAUGGAGUAGAGAAAACCAGGUGGUACUAUUCAGGUUUCCUGCAUGAGUUUAAAGUAGGAUUGGAAGAAAGAUACAGGAAGAGAGGGUGGAAGUGAGUAAUUUCUGUGAGGCUUGGCCAGCCUGUUGGAUUGCCUGUGAGUUAAUUCCUGAUGGGAGGGUAGUAAAAUAAAGAGUGCUAAGCUAUAGCCUACCAACAGCUGACUUGCCUUCAACUUCUUAGAGAAAUUCAAGUUAUGAAAAGAAGUAAAGCCUAGUUGAGACUUCCCAUAAACAUAAGUG